GCUAGGAUAGGGGGUUCUUGACUAGCUAAGGGUGUGGUUUUUGGUGGAGUUUUUGGUUUGAAUAUGGAGAACGUCUUACAAUGCUUGAGGGGGUGAUCAAAUUUUUUGCAGUGGAAGCACCGCAAAAGAUUGCGGCACUCAGAUUUGAGAUGGUUUGAGGCCCCACAGCGAAAACAGCACCCCAUUUUAAAAGCCAAAGGAUGGAGGAAAGCAGGAGGAGGAAUGGGAUUUGAAAGAUAUUGAUCGAAGGUAUUGAGCGGCGCAGACGCCGACUGCAUGGAGGAAUGAUGAUUAGCCGAAUUGUCGUUCUGCCGAACAAAAG
This 322-nucleotide long non-coding RNA is filed under the name Elaeis guineensis (African oil palm). Its description in RNAcentral is "long non-coding RNA (EGUI_LNC021030)". Lineage: Eukaryota; Viridiplantae; Streptophyta; Magnoliopsida; Arecales; Arecaceae. The record is from RNAcentral.